This 676-nucleotide ribosomal RNA is filed under the name uncultured Vibrionaceae bacterium. RNAcentral describes it as "bacterial SSU rRNA". It matches the Rfam family "Bacterial small subunit ribosomal RNA", at positions 1 to 671 of the family's 1533-position model. Lineage: Bacteria; Pseudomonadati; Pseudomonadota; Gammaproteobacteria; Vibrionales; Vibrionaceae. The record is from RNAcentral.
UAGAGUUUGAUCAUGGCUCAGAUUGAACACUGGCGGCAGGCCUAACACAUGCAAGUCGAGUGGUAACAGAUUGAUAGCUUGCUAUCAAUGCUGACGAGCGGCGGACGGGUGAGUAAUGCCUGGGAAUAUGCCCUGAUGUGGGGGAUAACUAUUGGAAACGAUAGCUAAUACCGCAUGAUGCCUACGGGCCAAGGAGGGGGACCUUCGGGCCUCUCGCGUCAAGAUAUGCCUAGGUGGGAUUAGCUAGUUGGUGAGGUAAUGGCUCACCAAGGCGACGAUCCCUAGCUGGUCUGAGAGGAUGAUCAGCCACACUGGAACUGAGACACGGUCCAGACUCCUACGGGAGGCAGCAGUGGGAAUAUUGCACAAUGGGCGCAAGCCUGAUGCAGCCAUGCCGCGUGUAUGAAGAAGGCCUUCGGGUUGUAAAGUACUUUCAGUUGUGAGGAAGGGGGUAGUGUUAAUAGCGCUAUCUCUUGACGUUAGCAACAGAAGAAGCACCGGCUAACUCCGUGCCAGCAGCCGCGGUAAUACGGAGGGUGCGAGCGUUAAUCGGAAUUACUGGGCGUAAAGCGCAUGCAGGUGGUUCAUUAAGUCAGAUGUGAAAGCCCGGGGCUCAACCUCGGAACUGCAUUUGAAACUGGUGAACUAGAGUACUGUAGAGGGGGGUAGAAUUUCA